GACGAACGCUGGCGGCGUGCUUAACACAUGCAAGUCGAACGAUGAUGCCAGCUUGCUGGUUGAUUAGUGGCGAACGGGUGAGUGACACGUGAGCAACAUGCCCCUGACUUCGGGAUAACCGCCGGGAACCGUGGCUUAUAACCGCUAUCACGCGCUGUCGCAUAGUGGUGUGUGGAAAGAUUUUGCGGUUGGGGAUGGGCUCGCGGCCUAUCAGCUUGUUGGUGGGGUGAUGGCCUACCAAGGCGACGACGGGUAGCCGGCCUGAGGGGAUGAUCGGCCAGGCCCGGACUCAGACGGGGGCCAGACUCGGACGGGAUGCAGCAGUGGGGAAAAUUGCACAAUGGGCGCAAGCCGGAUGCAGCGACGGCGCGUGAGGGAUGACGGCCUUCGGGUUGGAAACAUCUGUCAGAAGGGAAGAAGGCCUUCGUGUGAACGGUACCUGCAAAAGAGGCGCCGGCUAACUACGG
Molecule: ribosomal RNA, 467 nt
Filed under: uncultured bacterium
Lineage: Bacteria
Description: partial 16S ribosomal RNA
Rfam family: Bacterial small subunit ribosomal RNA
Source: RNAcentral